AUUGAACGCUGGCGGCAGGCCUAACACAUGCAAGUCGAGCGGAUGAAGGGAGCUUGCUCCUGGAUUCAGCGGCGGACGGGUGGGUAAUGCCUAGGAAUCUGCCUGGUAGUUGGGGAUAACGUCCGGAAACGGGCGCUAAUACCGCAUACGUCCUGAGGUAGAAAGUGGGGGAUCUUUGGACCUCACGCUAUCAGCUGAGCCUAGGUCGGAUUAGCUAGUUGGUGAGGUAAAGGCCUACCAAGGCGACGAUCCGUAACUGGUCUGAGAGGAUGAUCAGCCACACUGGAACUGAGACACGGUCCAGACUCCUACGGGAGGCAGCAGUGGGGAAUAUUGGACAAUGGGCGAAAGCCUGAUCCAGCAAUGCCGCGUGUGUGAAGAAGGUCUUCGGAUUGUAAAGCACUUUAAGUUGGGAGGAAGGGCAGUAAGUUAAUACCUUGAUGUUUUGACGUUACCAACAGAAUAAGCACCGGCUAACUUCGUG
This 484-nucleotide ribosomal RNA is filed under the name uncultured bacterium. RNAcentral describes it as "partial 16S ribosomal RNA". It matches the Rfam family "Bacterial small subunit ribosomal RNA", at positions 30 to 507 of the family's 1533-position model. The record is from RNAcentral.